RNAcentral lists this long non-coding RNA (360 nucleotides) under Linum usitatissimum (flax). RNAcentral's name for it is "long non-coding RNA (LUSI_LNC002900)". The record is from RNAcentral. Lineage: Eukaryota; Viridiplantae; Streptophyta; Magnoliopsida; Malpighiales; Linaceae.
UGUUGCAGACUGCUGCAUAGCAACUUCAAGAAGCCGGAAUGCCUCUGUUACAUCAUUCUUUUCAACCUGCAUAAUCCCAAAGGUAUGACAUCAUAACCCACCUACAGAAGAAAUGUUACAAUGCUGAAGCAGAAAAUAUGAACUAACCUGUUCGGAGAAACGAAUUCGAGCAAGUGCUUCACUGAUACGUAUCAAGCUCUCUAUUUGUCUAGGUGUUGCAGUUAUGACCUGAAGGAUAUUGCAUACAAAGGAUAUCAGAUCAAAUAAAAGCACCGUCGUUUGUCAAGGUUCAUGGAAAGUUCAUAAUUUUUUAUAUACUACUAGUUUCAGACACACAACAUGCCUUUUUGCUACUGCCGG